AGCAGUAGCCGCGGUAAUACGAAGGGGGCUAGCGUUGUUCGGAUUUACUGGGCGUAAAGGGCGCGUAGGCGGACUGAUAAGUCAGGGGUGAAAUCCCAAGGCUCAACCUUGGAACUGCCUUUGAUACUGUUUGUCUUGAGUUCGAGAGAGGUAAGUGGAACUGCGAGUGUAGAGGUGAAAUUCGUAGAUAUUCGCAAGAACACCAGUGGCGAAGGCGGCUUACUGGCUCGAAACUGACGCUGAGGCGCGAAAGCGUGGGGAGCAAACAGGAUUAGAUACCCCCGUAGUCCCUGUCUCUUAUAC
RNAcentral lists this ribosomal RNA (303 nucleotides) under uncultured bacterium. Its description in RNAcentral is "partial 16S ribosomal RNA". It matches the Rfam family "Bacterial small subunit ribosomal RNA", at positions 507 to 807 of the family's 1533-position model. The record is from RNAcentral.